RNAcentral lists this ribosomal RNA (253 nucleotides) under uncultured bacterium. RNAcentral's name for it is "partial 16S ribosomal RNA". It matches the Rfam family "Bacterial small subunit ribosomal RNA", at positions 524 to 776 of the family's 1533-position model. The record is from RNAcentral.
UACAGAGGUGGCAAGCGUUGUUCGGAAUUACUGGGCGUAAAGGGCGCGUAGGCGGCCUUCUAAGUCGGACGUGAAAGCCCCAGGCUUAACCUGGGAACUGCGUCUGAUACUGGACGGCUUGAGUAUGGGAGAGGAACGUAGAAUUCCAGGUGUAGCGGUGAAAUGCGUAGAUAUCUGGAGGAAUACCGGUGGCGAAGGCGGCGUUCUGGACCAUUACUGACACUGAAUCGCGAAAGCUAGGGGAGCAAACGGG